ACGGGGUUUGGCUGUGGAAGCGCACGAAAGGGUUCAACUUACCUUCACGGACGACGAGCUCUGUUGUUGCCUCCGAUCGGAGAGAGGGGAGAGCCGUCGAAGGGAGCUAAACCGCACAGCUACGAAGAGCCGAAGACACGUGUGAUAGGGAGAAAGUUAACUUCACACGAUGAGCUCCCGUUCGUGCUAGCGACCAGAAUGUCGUGACUUUCGGUCGGACAGGAAGGAAUGACGUCGAAGGAGCGACGUUGACUAGCCUCGAGGGAGCCGGAGAAGAAGUGAGAGGGCUCCGGUCGUGAUUCCGAUCCAGAUUGAUGUCGUAACUUCCGGACUGACAGGAAGGGAAAGUCGUCGAGCAAACGAAGUCGAUCAACGAGAGAGGGAGAGGAAGAGAGAACGGGCUCGGGAGAGGAGGAAAAGAGCUCGGGAGGGUGAAGAAGGCCGAAGGUCUCCUUUUUCGUGGCCAUUUGACGACGCGAGCUUGUCGUGGGGAGAAAAGACGGGUCGUGCAAAGAAGCGACGCUCGAUCUUGCGACGACGUGGGGAUGACAGAGGGCAGAUCAAGGUAAGGGAGCAUGAAUGAGAUAUUGACCAGGAUCCUUCAAGUUCAGGUUCUUAUUAUUUUAACUAUACAUUUGUACUCAUGACAGAGUAUUUGUGAUAUGAUUAUAUAGAUCCUGAAUAGUGAACAUGAUUUUUGGGGAAAUGAAUACAUAUAUGUAUAUUGAUGUUUUGAUCGAUA
Molecule: long non-coding RNA, 742 nt
Organism: Dendrobium catenatum
Lineage: Eukaryota; Viridiplantae; Streptophyta; Magnoliopsida; Asparagales; Orchidaceae
Exons: 2
Source: RefSeq, a predicted model, not a curated record